RNAcentral lists this ribosomal RNA (442 nucleotides) under uncultured bacterium. Its description in RNAcentral is "bacterial SSU rRNA". It matches the Rfam family "Bacterial small subunit ribosomal RNA", at positions 29 to 502 of the family's 1533-position model. The record is from RNAcentral.
AGCGAACGCUGGCGGCAGGCCUAACACAUGCAAGUCGAACGCCGUAGCAAUACGGAGUGGCAGACGGGUGAGUAACACGUGGGAACGUACCCUUCGGUUCGGGAUAACUCAGGGAAACUUGAGCUAAUACCGGAUACGUCCGAGAGGAGAAAGAUUUAUUGCCGAGGGAUCGGCCCGCGUCUGAUUAGCUUGUUGGUGAGGUAACGGCUCACCAAGGCGACGAUCAGUAGCUGGCUGAGAGGAUGAUCAGCCACAUUGGGACUGAGACACGGCCCAGACUCCUACGGGAGGCAGCAGUGGGGAAUCUUGCGCAAUGGUCUAACGACUGACGCAGCGACGCCGCGUGAGGGAUGAAGCUCUUCGGAGUGUAAACCUCUGUGCCCGGGACGAAUAGCGGAUUAUUCCGACUUGACGGUACCGGGUGAGGAAGCACCGGCUAACU